This 84-nucleotide transfer RNA is filed under the name Segatella copri. RNAcentral describes it as "tRNA-Ser". The record is from RNAcentral. Lineage: Bacteria; Pseudomonadati; Bacteroidota; Bacteroidia; Bacteroidales; Prevotellaceae.
GCGGAAUCCGAAUUUUUCGGGCACGCCUGGAAAGCGUGUAUUCCCCUAAAGGGAAUCGGGGGUUCGAAUCCCCCUCUUUCCGCU